Molecule: ribosomal RNA, 253 nt
Filed under: uncultured bacterium
Lineage: Bacteria
Description: partial 16S ribosomal RNA
Rfam family: Bacterial small subunit ribosomal RNA
Source: RNAcentral
UACGUAGGUGGCGAGCGUUGUCCGGAUUUAUUGGGUUUAAAGGGUGCGUAGGCGGCUUUGUAAGUCAGUGGUGAAAUACUCCAGCUUAACUGGAGGGGUGCCAUUGAUACUGCGGAGCUUGAGUACAGAUGAGGUAGGCGGAAUUGACGGUGUAGCGGUGAAAUGCAUAGAUAUCGUCAAGAACACCGAUAGCGAAGGCAGCUUACUGGGCUGUAACUGACGCUGACGCACGAAAGUGUGGGGAUCAAACAGG